Molecule: ribosomal RNA, 1498 nt
Filed under: uncultured fungus
Lineage: Eukaryota; Fungi
Description: eukaryotic LSU rRNA
Rfam family: Eukaryotic large subunit ribosomal RNA (bases 865-1498)
Source: RNAcentral
GUCGUAACAAGGUUUCACUAUGGAGACCAUGCAUCCUCCGGGAGGCUAGCGCGACUCCAUAAACAAAGCUGCCGUAUGCAAGUCAGCUUGCUGGCGAUACGAUCGAAUUGCGGGGACAUCCUAAAGCUCAGCAUACUCCCUAGCUAUGAAAGUAGCUAGCAUAGUUAUAACUGCUGAGAUGUACAAUGGACGAUCCGCAGCGAAGACCCUAAAGCGCAAGCUAUGGGUACCGUUCACAGACUAGGUGAUUGUAGGUAGGGUACUACUUAAGAUAUAGUCGAGCCCUGAGCGAAAGCCUGGGGAGUAAAAUGUCCGUAGGUGAACCUGCGGAAGGAUCAUUAAUAGAGAUAAGGAUGACAGCGCCCCGUGAGCCCGCUCUCGGGGGCUACCCUACUUGUAGGGUUUAGAGUCGACGGGCCUCUUUGGAGGAUACUCGGUCCUGACCUCCACCCUUGAAUAAAUUACCUUUGUUGCUUUGGCAGGCCGCCUAGUGCCAGCGGCUUCGGCUGUUGCGUGCCUGCCAGAGGACCACAACUCUUGUUUCUAGUGAUGUCUGAGUACUAUAUAAUAGUUAAAACUUUCAACAACGGAUCUCUUGGUUCUGGCAUCGAUGANAACGCAGCGAAAUGCGAUAAGUAAUGUGAUUGCAGANUCAGUGAAUCAUCGAAUCUUUGAACGCACAUUGCGCCCCCUGNAUUCGGGGGCAUGCUGUUCGAGCGUCAUNNAACCACUCAGCUCUGCUGUCUGGGGUCGUGUCUUCGCNGNCUUAAAUCAGUGGCGGUGCCUAUCGCUCUACGCGUAGUAAUACUCCUCGCGUCUGAGUCCGGUGGGUUUACUUGCCAGUAACCCCCAAUUUUUACAGGUUGACCUCGGAUCAGGUAGGGAUACCCGCUGAACUUAAGCAUAUCAAUAAGCGGAGGAAAAGAAACCAACAGGGAUUACCUCAGUAACGGCGAGUGAAGCGGUAAUAGCUCAAAUUUGAAAGCUAGCUCUUCUAGGGUUCGCAUUGUAAUUUGUAGAAGAUGCUUCGAGUGUGGUCCCGGUCUAAGUUCCUUGGAACAGGACGUCAUAGAGGGUGAGAAUCCCGUAUGUGACUGGGUACUUUCGCUCAUGUGAAGCUCUUUCGACGAGUCAAGUUGUUUGGGAAUGCAGCUUAAAAUGGGUGGUAUAUUUCAUCUAAAGCUAAAUAUUGGCCAGAGACCGAUAGCGCACAAGUAGAGUGAUCGAAAGAUGAAAAGCACUUUGGAAAGAGAGUUAAACAGUACGUGAAAUUGUUGAAAGGGAAGCGCUUGUAACUAGACUUGCGCGCUGAUGAUCAUCUAGGCUUCUGUCUGGUGCACUCGUCUGCGCUCAGGCCAGCAUCAAUUCUGGUGCUGGGAUAAAGGCCUUAGGAAUGUAGCUCCUCUCGGGGAGUGUUAUAGCCUUCGGUGCAAUGCCGCCUAUCGGGAUUGAGGACCGCGCUUCGGCUAGGAUGCUGGCGUAAUAGUUAUAAGCGACC